AUGCCCUGGAGGAGGGCACGGCAACCCCUCUCCAGCAUUCUUGCCUGGAGAAUCCCCAUGGACAGAGGAGUCUGGUGGGCUACACUCCACAGGUCGCGAAGAGUCGACAAGACAGCACAGCGCAGCACAGAGAUGUCAAGUGCUUUCACCUCUCCCGACCUUUGCCCAUGCUUAUUCCUUCUGCCUAAAGUCCCAGCUCUAUCAAGUCUCCCCGUUAGCCCUCCCCUCUUUUCUGCUUCCUGUGAGCCUUGUACACCACUCCUUCACUUUUAUCAAUUAUUUCCUAGCGCUUGUCUGUUGGCCUGUCGGCCCUGGGAACUCCUUGACAGCCACCAAGCGGCCCUGCGGGUAGACUCCAGAACAGGGCCUGUCACAUUGGCAGCGCCAGGAAAUGCUUGUGAACGGAUGAAUGCUCCUGCGGGUGAGGGCCCCUGUGCACAAACAGAUCCGAGCAGAGGGGCCGAGGCCUGGCCUCCGUCGCUCCUACACUGGGGAAGGCUUGGAGGUUGCUCUAAGGCUGGCUGGCCGGACCUCCCUGAGGGACCUUCGGGAGCCUCAACGCGGGCGGGCAGGCGGGGGCAGGGCGUGCGCGCGGACACACCCCCCGCAGUGUCCCCGGCGCCCGGCAGGGGGCGCUGCUCCGUCGGCCCACGCCCCGCCGCGCGCCGGGCCGGCUCCCUCGCGCAGGCGCGGUGCCGCGGGUGGAGGAUCCGGGCCGCGCUUCCUCUCGCCAGGCCUGCGAGCUUCCUCCCAGCGGAGCCCAGGGCCAGCCGAGCUUGGCCGCUGCCGCCGUCGCCGCCGCCGCGACCGCCGCCGCCCUCCCGGUCUCGCCCCACCCGGCACCCCGCGCGGAGGUCUUGCUGGGGUGGGGUCCGAGCGGGGCGGUCUCCCGGCCGCGCCGCCGUCGGGGCCACCCCCCCGGCCAGCGGUCCCUCCCGCCCCAGCCAGCCUGUGGCCGCCGGAGCCUCCGGGGCGUGGAACGCGGGGACCUUCUGCGGCGCCCCGAACCAGCGUCCGGGGCCGCCCCGGGCAGCCGGCGCGACGUCCCCGCAUCGAGCCUCGGUGGCGGCGUUCGGAAGCGGAACUCUGCCGGGGCUGCGCCGGCUACAUUGUUUCCUCCCCCCCGACUCCCUCCCGCCCCCUCUCCCCCGCCUUUCUUCCCUCCCCGACCCGGGCCGCGCGGCCAUCCCCCUGCCUCUGUCUGGCCGUCCCUCCUCCCCCUCCUCUCGCACCCAGACCUCUUUGUACCUCACCACCCGGGGACCCCUGCGCCCCUCCCCUCCCCCCUGGCCGCAUGGACCGUCCGGCAGGCCGCUGAUGCUGCCCGCAGCGAGGUGGCCCGGACCGCAGUGCCCCGAGAGAGCUCUCAUGGUACCAAGUGACAGGUCGGCCUUCCUGUGACACGGGGACGCCAGAUCUUCUAGGAAGAUGUCAGCAAUUCAGGCUGCCUGGCCAUCCGGUACAGAAUGUAUUGCCAAGUACAACUUUCACGGCACUGCUGAGCAAGACCUUCCCUUCUGCAAAGGAGAUGUGCUCACCAUUGUGGCUGUCACCAAGGACCCCAAUUGGUACAAAGCCAAGAACAAGGUGGGCCGUGAGGGCAUCAUCCCAGCCAACUAUGUCCAGAAGCGGGAGGGUGUGAAGGCAGGCACCAAGCUCAGCCUCAUGCCCUGGUUCCAUGGCAAGAUCACGCGGGAACAGGCAGAGCGGCUCCUGUGCCCACCAGAGACAGGCCUGUUCCUGGUGCGGGAGAGCACCAACUACCCCGGGGACUACACGCUGUGCGUGAGCUGUGAUGGCAAGGUGGAGCAUUACCGCAUCAUGUACCACGCCAGCAAGCUCAGCAUCGAUGAAGAGGUGUACUUUGAGAACCUCAUGCAGCUGGUGGAGCACUACACCUCAGAUGCAGAUGGCCUCUGUACUCGCCUCAUCAAGCCAAAGGUCAUGGAGGGCACCGUGGCCGCCCAGGAUGAGUUCUUCCGCAGUGGCUGGGCGCUGAACAUGAAGGACCUGAAGCUGCUGCAGACCAUAGGGAAGGGGGAGUUUGGAGACGUGAUGCUGGGUGACUACCGAGGGAACAAAGUCGCUGUCAAGUGCAUUAAGAACGAUGCCACUGCACAGGCCUUCCUGGCUGAAGCCUCCGUCAUGACGCAACUCCGGCAUAGCAACCUGGUACAGCUUCUGGGCGUGAUCGUAGAGGAGAAGAGCGGGCUGUACAUCGUUACCGAGUACAUGGCCAAGGGGAGUCUAGUGGACUACCUGCGGUCUCGGGGUCGGUCGGUGCUUGGCGGAGACUGUCUCCUCAAGUUCUCACUAGACGUCUGUGAGGCCAUGGAAUACCUGGAGGGCAACAACUUCGUGCAUCGGGAUCUGGCUGCCCGCAACGUGCUGGUGUCUGAGGACAAUGUGGCCAAGGUCAGCGACUUCGGCCUCACCAAGGAGGCCUCCAGCACCCAGGACACGGGCAAGCUGCCGGUCAAGUGGACAGCCCCCGAGGCCCUAAGAGAGAAGAAAUUCUCCACCAAGUCUGAUGUGUGGAGUUUCGGGAUCCUUCUCUGGGAAAUCUACUCUUUCGGGCGAGUGCCUUAUCCAAGAAUUCCCCUGAAGGACGUCGUCCCGCGGGUGGAGAAGGGCUACAAGAUGGAUGCCCCCGACGGCUGCCCACCUGCAGUCUACGAGGUCAUGAAGAACUGCUGGCACCUGGAUGCCGCCACGCGGCCCUCCUUCCUGCAGCUCCGCGAGCAGCUCGAGCGCAUCAAGACCCACGAGCUGCACCUGUGACUGCGGCCUCGCCCGGGCCGAGGGCCUGAGGGCCUGCAGGGACUGAGCCGGAGAGACUGCGGACCUCGCACCCCCGCUCGCUGGGCCCAAACCUGAACUGAGCCCAGCAGGAGGCCGCUGGGCCUCUUUCCUGUCCCAGCCCGUGCCCCCUCUGGCACCCGGAGACCCCGCCUAGGCCUGGCACCUUCUUUCAUGGACCCACCUGUGGGGCUUUGGGAGCCCUGCCCUCGGGCCCGGAUGGGAGGAGGCUGAAGAGCCGGGGGAUAGACGCCCUACCGUGGUCAGGCUCCCCCCUGGCCUCCCAUCUCUCGCCUUCUUAGAGUUUUAUUCCUUUUCUUUUUUUGAGAUUUUUUUUUUCCGUGUGUUUAUUUUUUAUUAUUUUUCAAGAUAAGGAGAAAGAAAGUACCCAGCAAAUGGGCAUUUUACAAGAAGUACGAAUCUUAUUUUCCUGUCCUGCCCACGAGGGUUGGGGAGACCAGGCCCCUCUCUAGGGCCCCAUCGCCCCGGCCCUGUUCCCCCCGCCGUGUCCCGUGUCCGUGUCGCCUCGGUCGCCCCGUGUCUGCGCUUGACCAUGUUGCAGUGUUUGCAUGCGCCCGAGGCAGACGUCUGUCAGGGGCUUGGAGUCCGUGUGCCGCUGCCGCCCACCCACCUGCCUUGUGAGAUGGAAUCGUAAUAAACCACUCCAUGAGGACCCCGCU
RNAcentral lists this long non-coding RNA (3479 nucleotides) under Bos indicus x Bos taurus (hybrid cattle). Its description in RNAcentral is "lncRNA (ENSBIXG00000015886.1)". The record is from RNAcentral. Lineage: Eukaryota; Metazoa; Chordata; Mammalia; Artiodactyla; Bovidae.